RNAcentral lists this long non-coding RNA (668 nucleotides) under Rattus norvegicus (Norway rat). RNAcentral describes it as "long non-coding RNA NONRATT025164". The record is from RNAcentral. Lineage: Eukaryota; Metazoa; Chordata; Mammalia; Rodentia; Muridae.
AUUCUGUCAAGUCCGUGUGAUCGAUCAUUUGGGUUAGCCCUUUUGAAGUUGGUUUGCACGUAUGUUUUGGAGAAAUUAGUAAUAAAGACAGUCAGAGAGUGAAUCACUUGGGCUAUUUGUGAAGACAUUCAUGUCUCAGCUGAUAAGAGGUUUUCCCUGGUAAGACCUAAUUUUUAUAAGUUUUGUUGGUAACCAUAUUUUUUCAUUCCCUCUAGAUACAUAAACAUAACCAUGUCUUCAUCUUAAAACCACUGCAGGAUUCCACCAUAAAGAUGUUAGCACAUCUUUAUAGUAUAUUGUUUGGCCUAGUUCCUCAGUUUUUUGUUUUGUUUUGUUUUUGGUAACCCAGUGUCUCUCAGCUGCUGUUGUUCUUUUUUUUUUUUUUUUUAACCAACAUUAACAAAGCAUUAUUUGUUCCUGGGGUUUUUUACUCUCCCUUUUUGUUUAAUAAGCAUCUCUUGUAAGGUAUAAUUGGCUCUUUCUAUAACUGCUUGUCCUGUGGUAUUAUGUGAUAUUCCAGUAAUCUCGUUUAUAUUGUAAUAUGCAAAGAAUUGCUUCAUCUUAUUGGAUACACAUGGGGGAGAAUUGUCAGGUUGAAUUAUACAGGUAUCCCCAUAAUUGCCCUUAUUUCGAAUAAUGUGUAACUACACAGUCAGUCUUUUCAGAAC